Molecule: non-coding RNA, 467 nt
Organism: Pelobates cultripes (western spadefoot toad)
Lineage: Eukaryota; Metazoa; Chordata; Amphibia; Anura; Pelobatidae
Source: the annotation of a GenBank genome assembly
UUCCCAUUACAUAGUCUCCGGCGUCUCUUGGGCUGGGGUGUUCUAUGUUUAAGGUCAAUUUUAUUGGAGUAGACCCUGUUGGUUUACACAAAGUCAUUCGGUGUAACAAAGGUUUCCCGUGUCUGUCAACUCGGUUUAAGGCAGUCUGCGGUCUGUAACCCCAUGGUCGGCCUGUGUUCCAACCCGCUGCUUUCCAUGAACUACAGUGAUGUCCCCAAUGACCGCCCGUCACACAUAUGUACGGGUCCUUCUUGUUUGGUAUGUCUUUGUAUAUUGCUGAGUGUUGUGAUUGUGGAAAUGUACAAGUAACAAUAUCACAGUAAUCAAAAGUAAAUGUAGCCACAUUUGUGUUGGAAGAAUUGUACCAAAAUGUGUAAACAUGAUUGUCUUUGGUAAUAGCAACUCGUUGGGCCUCCAAGAGGCCUAGCAGCAAACAUAAACAUAAAGGGCUCAUGUUGGUGUGGGAU